This 402-nucleotide ribosomal RNA is filed under the name uncultured bacterium. RNAcentral's name for it is "bacterial SSU rRNA". It matches the Rfam family "Bacterial small subunit ribosomal RNA", at positions 355 to 774 of the family's 1533-position model. The record is from RNAcentral.
UGGGGAAUAUUGGACAAUGGGGGCAACCCUGAUCCAGCCAUGCCGCGUGAGUGAUGAAGGCCUUCGGGCUGUAAAGCUCUUUUGGCGGGGACGAUGAUGACGGUACCCGCAGAAUAAGCCCCGGCUAACUUCGUGCCAGCAGCCGCGGUAAGACGAAGGGGGCUAGCGUUGUUCGGAAUUACUGGGCGUAAAGCGCGUGUAGGCGGUUGUCCAAGUCGGGUGUGAAAGCCUUGAGCUCAACUCAAGAAAUGCACUCGAUACUGGGCGACUAGAGGACCGGAGAGGAUAGUGGAAUUCCCAGUGUAGUGGUGAAAUACGUAGAGAUUGGGAAGAACACCAGUGGCGAAGGCGGCUAUCUGGACGGUUACUGACGCUAAGACGCGAAAGCGUGGGGAGCAAACA